Long non-coding RNA from Cyclopterus lumpus (lumpfish), 293 nucleotides. RefSeq lists it as uncharacterized. The transcript has 4 exons. The record is from RefSeq and is a predicted model, not a curated record. Lineage: Eukaryota; Metazoa; Chordata; Actinopteri; Perciformes; Cyclopteridae.
CGGCCAACUUUAAAGACCGAAGAAGCGGACGACCCUUCAGUCAUUUCUUUGUGAUCGUCGACUGAAGCACCUCAGGUGCUGCUGGUCUCUUUCAACAAGUGGUGCCACUCACUGGGUCCAAAGGGGUUUGUAUUAUGCAUUUCAGGAAGUGAAAUUCUUUACACACUGGACUUAAAUCAGAUGCUAUUUUUCCUGCAGAAGCCAUCAGCCUUAUAACCAUCUAAUGUGAACUUCUUUUCAAAGCCUAAUAUCCUGUAUUUGCUCUGAUUGAUUAAACAAAACUGUCUAUUGCA